AAGAAAGGAUCUUUUAAUUUAAAUAAAAAUCACUGUAUUGCAUGGAAGAUAAAAACGUUUACUCUUUUACUGGAAAACAACAAACACAACUCUACUUUGAACAUUUUUAUUUUUUUUUUUUCAGUCAAGUGCCAGAAAACUAAAACAGACUUAAAAGUAUGAUGCCAUGAUGUGCUUCCUUUCAAGCUAGUUAAACUCUGAGAAGUUUAACCAACUGCUGCAGCUGUUUCCAUGCCUUCUACAAAUUAGGAGCAAAGACGCGUUUGCAUCAUGGGCCACUCUGACAAGAAGGUGAACUUGAUCAAAGCAACUGCGCUAUUAGGUAGGGAGAAAAGCAAGCAUGGAAGAAUUAGCUCCCAUUUUUUUCCAAAAGAGAUUUCAGGCUCAAGACACUAGUAAUAUGAAACAUUAUAUAAAAUAAGGACUACGUUUAUGUAGUUGAUUGGUCAGAAAGUAAGCAAAGUAAGAGUUCACAAAUCCUAAGAAUUACAUCUAAGGGACUUAUGAAACAAAAGUGUAAGAUAAUGGGUAAGAUAAUAAGGUUAUGUAAAUAAAACCAAGCAUAUAUAGGCUUAUAUGCAUAUAUGUACACACAUCUUCUAAACUUUCUACAAGGCGCAUCCUACAAAGCACUCUAUCCUUACAAAGCAUAACUAUCAAAAGGUAUCUCUCCCUACUGGAAGAUAUUUAGAUGUUCACAAAACAAAAAACACCAAAAGAUGUCAACUAAAGCAUACUUACACUGAGAAAUUUAAGAUUAAAAAAAAAAAAAAAAAAAAAAUCCCUGCAAAUGUAGAAGACAAUCAUACUUCAUUGUGUAAAGAACUGGCUGGUACCAUUUUCUCUAAAUCAAGAACAGAAAAAGACGUGAACUGAAAAGAUGAUUUGAGUAUCAGAUCAAAAACUGCUGAAAAUAUACUGACUGAAGUCAGAUGUCCACUCCUUCUUUUACAAGGCUUCAUGAGGAAAUUUUAUUUUCUGAUGAGUUUUAUUCCUAUCUCAUUACCAUUU
Molecule: long non-coding RNA, 1011 nt
Filed under: Strigops habroptila (Kakapo)
Lineage: Eukaryota; Metazoa; Chordata; Aves; Psittaciformes; Psittacidae
Description: lncRNA (ENSSHBG00005019324.1)
Source: RNAcentral